UUCUGCCAGAAGGCUGCGUCACUUUCUUGUGAGACAAAACAUUUCCUGAAGCUGAAGGUCGUCUACCAUGAGGUGAUCCUAAAGGCAUCCCAACUCUGAUGUAAUGGUGGUAUGAUCCUGAGUUACGCCAGCAGUAGCAUACCUACUGGUAGUGUCUCCAAUGCUGGACAGGUCAAAGGUGAUGAUCCAGACAAAAAGGCAUACCCUGGUCUUCCAGGGUUGGGCCUGGGGUUGACGACUCCACCCCAUAAAAAGCAUCAAUUUCUAAGAGGCUUUUAAUAAUUGCGGCUGAAUGAAAACACCUAAAACAAUGGCUUACCAUAACUGAGGACUUACAAGAGGGAACCUGGAAUGUGCUGUCCCUAUAUAGAAGUGGGGCACUUGGGAAUUUGAUGGAAAUACUUGCUCUCAGUGGCUGGAUUCAGUUGAAGAUUUGAAGAGAAUGGGCACUAGAAAUUGGAGACAAAAAUCACCAGACCAGGACCAAUGGCAAGCAAUCAUGAAACAGGCCAAGGUUCUUCAUGGACUGUAGCACCCACAAGAGGAGGACGUGGUGGUGGUGGGGAGAAUAUAAAGGAUGAGCUUAUAUUUGCAUAAGUUUAUGCUCAAACAAAAUGGAGAAUACCAAAAUGACUAUAUCAGGUGACUGUGGACAUAGCAGCGGACCAUUUUAACCCAUAAUAAGUGGGAAAUCUCAUGAUCAACUGAGUGACUCUCACCUUCUCAAGAAUCCACAGAAUGAGUGAAAUUCUAACUAAAUCUGUUUAGGAAUGCAGCUCAUACCAAAAUACGUGCAUAUAAAAAUAUCAUCUAAUAAUGAAGUGGCUAGAAAAACACUAACACAGACACAAAGAAUGCAUAUUGUGACAUGUUGCGCUAUGGAGGACACCCCCUCCCUCCUCAGCGGUGACGUAA
Long non-coding RNA from Cryptotermes secundus, 915 nucleotides. RefSeq lists it as uncharacterized. The record is from RefSeq and is a predicted model, not a curated record. The transcript is spliced from 2 exons. NCBI's taxonomy places the organism in Eukaryota, Metazoa, Arthropoda, Insecta, Blattodea, Kalotermitidae.